This 254-nucleotide ribosomal RNA is filed under the name uncultured bacterium. RNAcentral's name for it is "partial 16S ribosomal RNA". It matches the Rfam family "Bacterial small subunit ribosomal RNA", at positions 524 to 776 of the family's 1533-position model. The record is from RNAcentral.
UACAGAGGGUGCAAGCGUUGUUCGGAAUUACUGGGCGUAAAGCGCGCGCAGGCGGCUCUUUAAGUCUAUGGGUCAAAGCCCGGGGCUCAACCCCGUGGUCGCCCGGGAUACUGGAGAGCUAGGGACAUGUAGGGGCGAGCGGAAUUCCGGGUGUAGCGGUGGAAUGCGUAGAGAUCCGGAAGAACACCGGGGGCGAAGGCGGCUCGCUGGGCAUGGUCCGACGCUGAGGCGCGAAAGCGUGGGGAGCGAACAGG